RNAcentral lists this ribosomal RNA (236 nucleotides) under uncultured bacterium. RNAcentral describes it as "partial 16S ribosomal RNA". It matches the Rfam family "Bacterial small subunit ribosomal RNA", at positions 100 to 334 of the family's 1533-position model. The record is from RNAcentral.
CGGGACGGGUGAGUAACGCGUGGAUAACCUGCCUCACACUGGGGGAUAACAGUUAGAAAUGACUGCUAAUACCGCAUAAGCGCACAGUACCGCAUGGUACAGUGGGAAAAACUCCGGUGGUGUGAGAUGGAUCCGCGUCUGAUUAGCCAGUUGGCGGGGUAACGGCCCACCAAAGCGACGAUCAGUAGCCGACCUGAGAGGGUGACCGGCCACAUUGGGACUGAGACACGGCCCAA